Molecule: ribosomal RNA, 386 nt
Filed under: uncultured bacterium
Lineage: Bacteria
Description: bacterial SSU rRNA
Rfam family: Bacterial small subunit ribosomal RNA
Source: RNAcentral
GACGAACGCUGGCGGCGUGCUUAAUACAUGCAAGUCAACUAAGUCUUUUGCAGCAAUGUAAAAGAUUUGGUGGCGCACGGGUGAGUAUAACGUAGGCAAUCUACCAAAAGGUCUGACACAACCUGCCGAAAGGCAGGCUAAUAUCAGAUGAUACAAAAAGCAGGCAUCUGCUCUUUAUCAAAGCUUCGGCGCCUUUUGAUGAGCCUACGCCCCAUAGAUAGUUGGCGGGGUAAUAGCCCACCAAGUCUACGAUGGGUAACUGGUCUGAGAGGAUGAUCAGUCACACUGGAACUGAGACACGGUCCAGACUCCUACGGGAGGCAGCAGUAAGGAAUAUUGCUCAAUGGCCGAAAGGCUGAAGCAGCAACGCCGCGUGAAGGAUGAAA